GAUGAACGCUGGCGGCGUGCCUAAUACAUGCAAGUCGAGCGAACAGAUGAGGAGCUUGCUCCUCUGACGUUAGCGGCGGACGGGUGAGUAACACGUGGAUAACCUACCUAUAAGACUGGGAUAACUUCGGGAAACCGGAGCUAAUACCGGAUAAUAUAUUGAACCGCAUGGUUCAAUAGUGAAAGACGGUUUUGCUGUCACUUAUAGAUGGAUCCGCGCCGCAUUAGAUAGUUGGUAAGGUAACGGCUUACCAAGGCAACGAUGCGUAGCCGACCUGAGAGGGUGAUCCGCCACACUGGAACUGAGACACGGUCCAGACUCCGACGGGAGGCAGCAGUAGGGAAUCUUCCGCAAUGGGCGAAAGCCUGACGGAGCAACGCCGCGUGAGUGAUGAAGGUCUUCGGAUCGUAAAACUCUGUUAUUAGGGAAGAACAAAUGUGUAAGUGACUAUGCACGUCUUGACGGUACCUAAUCAGAAAGCCACGGCUAACUACGUG
RNAcentral lists this ribosomal RNA (497 nucleotides) under uncultured bacterium. Its description in RNAcentral is "partial 16S ribosomal RNA". It matches the Rfam family "Bacterial small subunit ribosomal RNA", at positions 28 to 507 of the family's 1533-position model. The record is from RNAcentral.